This 406-nucleotide ribosomal RNA is filed under the name uncultured bacterium. Its description in RNAcentral is "partial 16S ribosomal RNA". It matches the Rfam family "Bacterial small subunit ribosomal RNA", at positions 30 to 526 of the family's 1533-position model. The record is from RNAcentral.
AUUGAACGCUGGCGGCAGGCUUAACACAUGCAAGUCGAGCGAGUGGCGGACGGGUGAGUAAUGUCUGGAAAACUGCCUGCUGGAGGGGGAUAACUACUGGAAACGGUAGCUAAUACCGCAUACCAUCAGAUGUGCCCAGAUGGGAUUAGCUAGUAGGUGGGGUAAUGGCUCACCGAGCCGACGAUCCCUAGCUGGUCUGAGAGGCUGACCAGCCACACUGGAACUGUGACACGGUCCAGACUCCUACGGGAGUCAGCAGUGGGGACUAUUGCAUAAGUGGCGCAAGCCUGAUGCAGCCAUGCCGCGUGUGUGAAGAAGGCCUUCGGGUUGUAAAGCACUUUCAGCGAGGAGGCGUUACUCGCAGAAGAAGCACCGGCGAACGACGUGCCAGCAGCCGCGGUAAUUC